RNAcentral lists this long non-coding RNA (371 nucleotides) under Ananas comosus (pineapple). Its description in RNAcentral is "long non-coding RNA (ACOM_LNC023928)". The record is from RNAcentral. Lineage: Eukaryota; Viridiplantae; Streptophyta; Magnoliopsida; Poales; Bromeliaceae.
UCCACUACCAACAACAAGUUCGAAGCGCGACACAUCGAAGUAUCAAGUUACCUGAUACCUCGUCACUGAACCAAGAAUUCACAACCAUUACUAUCGAACCAGUCGACAUUCGAAAUCAGAAUGACCCUGAACCGACUCACAGGAAGUCCUAAAACUUUCAACAUCCGAAAGCUGCUAGCGACACGAAGCCGCGAACAUGUCCAGCUGGUGAAUCAGCUCUAAUACCAAAUGUAACGACCUAGCCUACUAGCAACAAUAACUCGUUGGACCCAACCACCGGCCCAAAAUGCUUAAGCCCAGUUAUUAUUACUAGUGUCUAAGUCUCUUAUAAACCCAAUGACAACCCCUUUCCCAUCCGAUGUGGGACUAUU